GAUGAACGCUGGCGGCAUGCCUAAUACAUGCAAGUCGAACGAGAGGAAGGAAAGCUUGCUUUUCUGAAUCUAGUGGCGAACGGGUGAGUAACACGUAGGUAACCUGCCCAUGUGCCCGGGAUAACUUCUGGAAACGGAUGCUAAAACCGGAUAGGUAGCAGACAAGCAUUUGACUGCUAUUAAAGUGGCUAAGGCCAUGAACAUGGAUGGACCUGCGGUGCAUUAGCUAGUUGGUGAGGUAACGGCCCACCAAGGCGACGAUGCAUAGCCGGCCUGAGAGGGCGGACGGCCACAUUGGGACUGAGACACGGCCCAAACUCCUACGGGAGGCAGCAGUAGGGAAUUCUCGUCAAUGGGGGGAACCCUGAACGAGCAAUGCCGCGUGAGUGAGGAAGGUCUUCGGAUCGUAAAGCUCUGUUGUAAGAGAAAAACGACAUUCAUAGGGAAUGAUGAGUGAGUGAUGGUAUCUUACCAGAAAGUCACGGCUAACUACGUGCCAGCAGCAGCCGCGG
This 512-nucleotide ribosomal RNA is filed under the name uncultured bacterium. RNAcentral's name for it is "partial 16S ribosomal RNA". It matches the Rfam family "Bacterial small subunit ribosomal RNA", at positions 28 to 523 of the family's 1533-position model. The record is from RNAcentral.